This 329-nucleotide ribosomal RNA is filed under the name uncultured bacterium. RNAcentral's name for it is "bacterial SSU rRNA". It matches the Rfam family "Bacterial small subunit ribosomal RNA", at positions 568 to 898 of the family's 1533-position model. The record is from RNAcentral.
UGUGUAGGCGGCUCUCUAAGUUUGGUGUGAAAUCUCCCGGCUCAACCGGGAGGGUGCGCCGAAAACUGGAAGGCUAGAGUGCGGGAUGGGAGAGUAGAAUUCCUGGUGUAGCGGUGAAAUGCGUAGAUAUCAGGAGGAAUACCGGUGGUGCAGACGGCUCUCUGGACCGUAACUGACGCUGAAACACGAAAGCGUGGGUAGCAAACAGGAUUAGAUACCCUGGUAGUCCACGCCCUAAACGAUGCAUAUUUGGUGUAGGUCAUUCAGUUGAUCUGUGCCGGAGCUAACGCGUUAAAUAUGCCGCCUGGGGAUACAGUCGCAAGGCUGAA